GCCCAGGUGCUGGAACUGGUAGACAGGCUAGCUUGAGGUGCUAGUGAGCAUUAGCUCGUGGGAGUUCAAAUCUCCCCCUGGGCACGA
This 87-nucleotide transfer RNA is filed under the name Candidatus Nealsoniibacteriota bacterium. RNAcentral's name for it is "tRNA-Leu". It matches the Rfam family "tRNA". From Rfam's summary of the family: Transfer RNA (tRNA) molecules are approximately 80 nucleotides in length. The record is from RNAcentral. Lineage: Bacteria; Candidatus Nealsoniibacteriota.